GGGAGGGUGUCAGAGUGGUUGAAUGAGCCGGUCUGGAAUGCCGGUGGAGGCGAUUUCGUCUCCCGUGGGUUCGAAUCCCACCCCUUCCG
Molecule: transfer RNA, 89 nt
Filed under: Caldibacillus debilis GB1
Lineage: Bacteria; Bacillati; Bacillota; Bacilli; Caryophanales; Bacillaceae
Rfam family: tRNA
About the family: Transfer RNA (tRNA) molecules are approximately 80 nucleotides in length. Their secondary structure includes four short double-helical elements and three loops (D, anti-codon, and T loops).
Source: Rfam by way of RNAcentral